RNAcentral lists this ribosomal RNA (431 nucleotides) under uncultured bacterium. RNAcentral's name for it is "partial 16S ribosomal RNA". It matches the Rfam family "Bacterial small subunit ribosomal RNA", at positions 29 to 507 of the family's 1533-position model. The record is from RNAcentral.
AACGAACGCUGGCGGCAGGCCUAACACAUGCAAGUCGAGCGCCCCGCAAGGGGAGCGGCGGCCGGGUGAGUAACGCGUGGGAAUAUGCCCUUUGCUACGGAAUAGUCUCGGGAAACUGGGGGUAAUACCGUAUACGCCCUUUGGGGGAAAGAUUUAUCGGCGAAGGAUUAGCCCGCGUUGGAUUAGGUAGUUGGUGGGGUAAUGGCCUACCAAGCCGACGAUCCAUAGCUGGUUUGAGAGGAUGAUCAGCCACACUGGGACUGAGACACGGCCCAGACUCCUACGGGAGGCAGCAGUGGGGAAUCUUAGACAAUGGGGGCAACCCUGAUCUGGCCAUGCCGCGUGAGUGAUGAAGGCCUUAGGGUUGUAAAGCUCUUUCAGCUGGGAAGAUAAUGACGGUACCAGCAGAAGAAGCCCCGGCUAACUCCGUG